This is a non-coding RNA of Podarcis lilfordi (Lilford's wall lizard), 71 nucleotides long. The record is from the annotation of a GenBank genome assembly. Lineage: Eukaryota; Metazoa; Chordata; Lepidosauria; Squamata; Lacertidae.
GGCCCAUAGCUCAGUGGUAGAGCAUCUGCUGGGCAUACAGAAGGUCCAAUAUCCAAUCCCUUGCAAGGCCU